Long non-coding RNA from Oryzias melastigma (Indian medaka), 424 nucleotides. RefSeq lists it as uncharacterized. Lineage: Eukaryota; Metazoa; Chordata; Actinopteri; Beloniformes; Adrianichthyidae. The transcript has 2 exons. The record is from RefSeq and is a predicted model, not a curated record.
ACAACAGAUUCCAUUCUGAAGCAGGAAGACGUCUGCGCUGGAAUAAAGGACAGGAUGUUUUGGUUCCUGAUCUCUGUGUGAUGCACUGUUGGAGUCACAACGAGUAUCUGCUGAAGGGACAGCAGCUCAGCUCAGAUAAUCAUGAGUGUAGAAGAUUAGUCAAGUUUGAGCUAAUUUCAAACGUUGGAGUCACAGGAAUCCCGCUCCACUUCAUAAAUCCUGGCGUAACUGUUCCAGCUUACUGCAUUGUUUCUUUAUGAUGCACACAUCUGUGCAGAAGAGGAAGCAGCGACGUUCUAUUCAAGACCGCCAGAUGUUCCCCUAAAUGUCAGCUUAAGUUUGAGUCUGUGUGUGUCUCUGAUGUGUUCUUGGAAAGGUCCUAUAGAAGGCUUACAUUUCUCUGUGAUUAAAACCACAUGUUUUA